This 83-nucleotide transfer RNA is filed under the name Minisyncoccota bacterium. RNAcentral's name for it is "tRNA-Ser". It matches the Rfam family "tRNA". From Rfam's summary of the family: Transfer RNA (tRNA) molecules are approximately 80 nucleotides in length. Their secondary structure includes four short double-helical elements and three loops (D, anti-codon, and T loops). The record is from RNAcentral. Lineage: Bacteria; Bacillati; Minisyncoccota.
GGAGGUGUCGCAUAGUGGCCAAUUGCACACGCUUGGAAAGCGUGAGUCUUAUGACUCCGUGGGUUCGAAUCCCUCCACCUCCG